UACGUAGGGUGCGAGCGUUGUCCGGAAUUCUUGGGCGUAAAGGGCGCGUAGGCGGCUCGGCACGUCCGUUGUGAAAUCGCCCGGCUCAACUGGGCGGGGUCGGCGGAUACGGCCGAGCUGGAGCAAGCUAGGGGGUAAUGGAAUUCCCGGUGUAGUGGUGGAAUGCGUAGAUAUCGGGAGGGACACCAGUGGCGAAGGCGGUUACCUGGAGCUUUGCUGACGCUGAUGCGCGAAAGCGUGGGGAGCGAUCCGG
This 253-nucleotide ribosomal RNA is filed under the name uncultured bacterium. RNAcentral's name for it is "partial 16S ribosomal RNA". It matches the Rfam family "Bacterial small subunit ribosomal RNA", at positions 524 to 776 of the family's 1533-position model. The record is from RNAcentral.